Molecule: ribosomal RNA, 254 nt
Filed under: uncultured bacterium
Lineage: Bacteria
Description: partial 16S ribosomal RNA
Rfam family: Bacterial small subunit ribosomal RNA
Source: RNAcentral
GACAGAGGGUGCAAACGUUGCUCGGAAUUAUUGGGCGUAAAGCGCACGUAGGUGGCUUGUUAUGUCGGAUGUGAAAGCCCUCGGCUCAACUGAGGAAGUGCAUCCGAAACUGGCAAGCUAGAGUAUGUAAGAGGGUCGCGGAAUUCCCGGUGUAGAGGUGAAAUUCGUAGAUAUCGGGAGGAACACCGGUGGCGAAGGCGGCAUCCUGGACCAACACUGACGCUGAGUGAGCGAAAGCCAGGGGAGCAAACGGG